This is a long non-coding RNA of Protobothrops mucrosquamatus (brown spotted pit viper), 301 nucleotides long. RefSeq lists it as uncharacterized. The transcript is spliced from 2 exons. Lineage: Eukaryota; Metazoa; Chordata; Lepidosauria; Squamata; Viperidae. The record is from RefSeq and is a predicted model, not a curated record.
GCUUUAACCUGGCUCGCGAGCCCCUCUCGCUUAGGUCAACGCCGCUUCCAGUCUGGACUAGCAGAGCCCACGGGAGUCUUGCAGGGAUCCUUCUUCACGCAAAAGUGAAAACCCUCCUGAUGGAAGAAGUGCACUUUGCUUUUUUUCCCCCCCCUUCUUUUUCUUCUAACCACUCUGGAAAAAUAAAUGUCAGCGCUUGGUGAAGUUCAAGAAAAGAUCUGGAAGCUGUGGAAAAGGAAAACAAAAACCAAACCACCCAAAAGACAGUUGUCUUGUGAAAAUAAAAUCUAAGCCUCCCCCA